This 237-nucleotide unclassified non-coding RNA is filed under the name air metagenome. RNAcentral's name for it is "partial contains small subunit ribosomal RNA, internal transcribed spacer 1, and 5.8S ribosomal RNA". The stretch from base 1 to 46 matches the Rfam family "Eukaryotic small subunit ribosomal RNA", at positions 1786 to 1831 of the family's 1831-position model. The record is from RNAcentral.
AAGUCGUAACAAGGUCUCCGUAGGUGAACCUGCGGAGGGAUCAUUACAGAGAACAUCGCCCGCAAGGGUGACUCUCCAACCCUAUGUUAAACAUACCUUUGUUGCUUUGGCGAGCCGCUUCGGCCACCGGCCUCGUGCUGGUGAGCGCCCGCCAGAGGACCCGUAAACUCUGUUUAUUAGUGUCGUCUGAGUAUUAUAUAAUAGUUAAAACUUUCAACAACGGAUCUCUUGGUUCUG